RNAcentral lists this transfer RNA (60 nucleotides) under Candidatus Roizmanbacteria bacterium CG_4_10_14_3_um_filter_33_21. Its description in RNAcentral is "tRNA-Asn". It matches the Rfam family "tRNA", at positions 7 to 64 of the family's 71-position model. Rfam says of the family: Transfer RNA (tRNA) molecules are approximately 80 nucleotides in length. Their secondary structure includes four short double-helical elements and three loops (D, anti-codon, and T loops). Further hydrogen bonds mediate the characteristic L-shaped molecular structure. tRNAs have two regions of fundamental functional importance: the anti-codon, which is responsible for specific mRNA codon recognition, and the 3' end, to which the tRNAs corresponding amino acid is attached (by aminoacyl-tRNA synthetases). tRNAs cope with the degeneracy of the genetic code in two manners: having more than one tRNA (with a specific anti-codon) for a particular amino acid; and 'wobble' base-pairing, i.e. permitting non-standard base-pairing at the 3rd anti-codon position. The record is from RNAcentral. Lineage: Bacteria; Candidatus Roizmaniibacteriota.
GUAGCUCAAUUGGUAGAGCAGGUCCCUGUUAAGGACAAGGUUGGCGGUCCGAGUCCGCCC